CACACAUUGAAUUCUUCUUUUUGUGUAAAAAUUUGUAAUUACUUUUAACGGUUUCUUUUGUUUGAUCAAAGUAACUGGUUAAAUUUUGUAGAAUUUUUAAAGAUUUGGAGGUCAAAUUCCCGGUAUAGAAGAUGAAAGAGUAUGAGUGUUUCCGAUCAAGCUCACCGUCACCGUUUUUCGGAAGCGCGAGUACUUCAAUUCGAGCCGAGAGUAAGCUAAACCUGGCUUCGAAUAUUUUGAAGCGCUUAUUCCGACCGCGAUCCAGAAGAUACCUCCCAGUUGUCCCCAAAUUUGGGAGAGGCAUGGAUAUAAACCUGUUCAAGUUGUGUUCUGGCCUCAAAGUAAUUGGCUACUUCAUGAUCCUGUUAGUUGCCGCAAUUGUCGCCGUUUCUUAUUACGCCGUUGUUGUACUUACUUGCGGGCCACAGUUGUUUCGCGGUGGAGUUCAUUCGUUUCUAGCAUUCUUUAUAAUUACAGUGUUUCAUGUUCUGCUUGUAAUGUUGGUUUGGAGCUAUAUAAUGGUUGUGUUUUGGGACCCUGGCUCUGUGCCGGAUAAUUGGAGGGCAGUAUUGUCGGAGGAGAGAUUGGAAGCUGGUAGUUCUUCAAUAUCUUCUGAUUACGCUGGACCAGAGACAUUAGAUUCCACACUGCCGUUUUCAGAUCGAUUGGAUGGAGGACGGCCGGUGGCCUACUGUGACAGGUGCCAAAAUGGGAAGCCGCCGCGAUGCCAUCAUUGCUCUGUUUGCCAAAGAUGUGUUCUCAAGAUGGACCACCACUGUGUUUGGGUGGUAAAUUGUGUUGGAGCAUGCAACUACAAGUUUUUUCUUCUAUUCUUGUUGUAUACCUUUCUGGAGACAACAAUAGACACUCUAGUGUUGCUUCCCAGUUUUAUAGAGUUCUUUGGCAAAGCUAUGAAUCAUUCCUCUUCUCCUGGCAAUCUAGCAAUCAUUUUUUUGGCUUUUGUUCUUAAUUUGGCGUUUGCUUUGAGUCUUCUUUGUUUCAUUGUUAUGCAUGCAUCCCUUGUAUCAAGCAACACCACAUCAAUAGAGGUUAAUGGCUGCAUCAAUUAUGCAUAUGGUGGCAUUAACCUGGCUCUGCAUGUUUCAGCAAUUGAGUCCUCAUUUGGUAGCUUUGUAUUUCUUUCUGGAAACUUUUAUGUAGGUUUAUGAGAAAAAAAGAGCAGCCAGAUGGAAAUAUGACAUAGGCAGGAAGAAGAAUUUUGAGCAGGUUUUUGGAACAAAAAAGGCAUUGUGGUUUCUACCAUUAUUUUCAAAAGAAGAUUUAGACAACAUACCUGCACUUCAUGGCCUAGAUUUCCCUACACGUUCUGACGUUUAGGCUUGAAGCUUGUUGAGCUUACUGUGAGUUGGGGUUCCUGCAAAGUGUAUCAUACUGUACCCUUUUAUCAUGUUGAAUAUGUUAAAAGUGUUGAUUUUUCCUCAACUUUUCACGAGAGGAUGUAUACAAAUUUUGGCCCGGAAAUCAUUAUUUUUUGUACAAUGUAUUUGGGGUUUAAGAUGAUUAUCCAAACUGUUGUGGAAUGUGGACUACUUAAUAUAAAAGUCCAAAAUAACGCAUGAACGUGCUCAAUUAAAGUGUUGGCAA
RNA transcript from Mangifera indica (mango), 1605 nucleotides. It is a transcript of the gene named probable protein S-acyltransferase 12, with no coding region annotated. The transcript has 8 exons. NCBI's taxonomy places the organism in Eukaryota, Viridiplantae, Streptophyta, Magnoliopsida, Sapindales, Anacardiaceae. The record is from RefSeq and is a predicted model, not a curated record.